GUAGCCCAGUGGUAACGCUUCCGCCUCGUAGGCGGUAAAUCCGGGUUCAAUUCCCGGC
Molecule: transfer RNA, 58 nt
Filed under: Culex quinquefasciatus (southern house mosquito)
Lineage: Eukaryota; Metazoa; Arthropoda; Insecta; Diptera; Culicidae
Source: Rfam by way of RNAcentral